This 402-nucleotide ribosomal RNA is filed under the name uncultured bacterium. RNAcentral's name for it is "bacterial SSU rRNA". It matches the Rfam family "Bacterial small subunit ribosomal RNA", at positions 357 to 776 of the family's 1533-position model. The record is from RNAcentral.
GGGAAUAUUGCACAAUGGGGGGAACCCUGAUGCAGCGACGCCGCGUGAGUGAAGAAGUAUUUCGGUAUGUAAAGCUCUAUCAGCAGGGAAGAAAAUGACGGUACCUGAAUAAGAAGCCCCGGCUAACUACGUGCCAGCAGCCGCGGUAAUACGUAGGGGGCAAGCGUUAUCCGGAUUUACUUGGUGUAAAGGGAGCGUAGACGGUUAUGCAAGUCUGGAGUGAAAGCCCGGGGCUCAACCCCGGGACUGCUUUGGAAACUGUGCGGCUGGAGUGCCGGAGAGGUAAGCGGAAUUCCUAGUGUAGCGGUGAAAUGCGUAGAUAUUAGGAGGAACACCAGUGGCGAAGGCGGCUUACUGGACGGUAACUGACGUUGAGGCUCGAAAGCGUGGGGAGCAAACAGG